This 114-nucleotide small nuclear RNA is filed under the name Salvator merianae (Argentine black and white tegu). RNAcentral's name for it is "U4 spliceosomal RNA (ENSSMRG00000004896.1)". It matches the Rfam family "U4 spliceosomal RNA". Rfam says of the family: U4 small nuclear RNA (U4 snRNA) is a component of the major U2-dependent spliceosome. Lineage: Eukaryota; Metazoa; Chordata; Lepidosauria; Squamata; Teiidae. The record is from RNAcentral.
AGCUGGGUGCAGUGGCAAUUUUGUAGCCAAUAAGGUUUAUCCGAGACGCAAUUAUUGCUAAUUUAAAACUUUUCCCAAUACCCCACCAUGACAACUUGAAAUAUAGUCAAAUAA